RNAcentral lists this ribosomal RNA (494 nucleotides) under uncultured bacterium. Its description in RNAcentral is "partial 16S ribosomal RNA". It matches the Rfam family "Bacterial small subunit ribosomal RNA", at positions 28 to 507 of the family's 1533-position model. The record is from RNAcentral.
GACGAACGCUGGCGGCGCGCUUAACACAUGCAAGUCGAACGGAAAGGCCUGCUUUCCCUUGUGGAUUGCGGGUGCUCGAGUGGCGAACGGGUGAGUAACACGUGAGUGAUCUGCCCCCAACUUGGGUAUAAGCCUGGGAAACUGGGUCUAAUUCCCGAUAGGACUGCAGGGUGGUGCCUGUGGUGGAAAACGAUUUUCUAGUGGUUGGGGAUGAGCUCGCGGCCUAUCAGCUUGUUGGUGGGGUAAUGGCCUACCAAGGCGGCGACGGGUAGCCGGCCUGGGAGGGUGGACGGCCACAUUGGGACUGAGAUACGGCCCAGACGCCUACGGGAGGAAGCAGGGGGGAAUAUUGCACAAUGGGCGGAAGCUGGAUGCAGCGACGCAGCGUGGGGGAUGACGGCCUUCGGGUUGUAAACUCCUUUCGACCGAGAGGAAGCCACCUGGUUGGAAGGGUGGUGACGGUAGUGGUAGAAGAAGCACCGGCUAACUACGUG